Molecule: unclassified non-coding RNA, 204 nt
Filed under: Hevea brasiliensis (rubber tree)
Lineage: Eukaryota; Viridiplantae; Streptophyta; Magnoliopsida; Malpighiales; Euphorbiaceae
Source: RNAcentral
GUUGGAGGCUUGGGGCUAGUCAAUUCUUUUACUUUUGGUUAAAUUUUUAAGUGAAAUGACCAUUAAAAUCUAAAUCAUUCAUUUUCUGUAAAUAUUUUUGAUAAUUACAAUUAGAUAGAUAAAAUAUUUUCUGUAUUUAAAUUUUACGUAAUUUUCAUUAUAUCAUAUAAAUAAAAUAAAAUACGUGGAGAUGCAAAGAUAAAU